This 274-nucleotide ribosomal RNA is filed under the name uncultured bacterium. RNAcentral's name for it is "partial 16S ribosomal RNA". It matches the Rfam family "Bacterial small subunit ribosomal RNA", at positions 523 to 796 of the family's 1533-position model. The record is from RNAcentral.
AUACGGAGGGGGCUAGCGUUGUUCGGAAUUACUGGGCGUAAAGCGCACGUAGGCGGCGCACGCAGUCAGAGGUGAAAGCCCUGGGCUCAACCCAGGAACUGCGUUUAAUACUGAUAAACUAGAGUCCGGGAGAGGGUAGUGGAAUUCCCAGUGUAGAGGUGAAAUUCGUAGAUAUUGGGAAGAACACCAGUUGCGAAGGCGGCUACCUGGCCCGGUACUGACGCUGAGGUGCGAAAGCGUGGGGAGCAAACAGGAUUAGAAACCCGAGUAGUCC